RNAcentral lists this ribosomal RNA (253 nucleotides) under uncultured bacterium. Its description in RNAcentral is "partial 16S ribosomal RNA". It matches the Rfam family "Bacterial small subunit ribosomal RNA", at positions 524 to 776 of the family's 1533-position model. The record is from RNAcentral.
UACGGAGGAUGCAAGCGUUAUCCGGAAUGAUUGGGCGUAAAGGGUCCGCAGGUGGCAGUGUAAGUCUGCUGUCAAAGAAUGAGGCUUAACCUCAUCAAGGCAGUGGAAACUACACAGCUAGAGUACGGUCGGGGUAGAAGGAAUUCCUGGUGUAGCGGUGAAAUGCGUAGAGAUCAGGAAGAACACCGGUGGCGAAAGCGUGCUGCUAGACCUGUACUGACACUGAGGGACGAAAGCUAGGGGAGCGAACAGG